Molecule: ribosomal RNA, 254 nt
Filed under: uncultured bacterium
Lineage: Bacteria
Description: partial 16S ribosomal RNA
Rfam family: Bacterial small subunit ribosomal RNA
Source: RNAcentral
UACAGAGGGGGCAAGCGUUAUUCGGAAUUAUUGGGCGUAAAGGGCGCGUAGGCGGCUUUGCAAGUGGCGGGUGAAAUCCCUCGGCUUAACCGGGGAACUGCGUCUGAUACUGGAUGGCUUGAGUUUGGGAGAGGGAUGCGGAAUUCCAGGUGUAGCGGUGAAAUGCGUAGAUAUCUGGAGGAACACCGGUGGCGAAGGCGGCAUCCUGGACCAACACUGACGCUGAGGAGCGAAAGCAUGGGGAGCGAACAGGA